CUGACGUGUGGUACCCACCGUAGUGAACGAAUCUGGUCCGCUAAUCUUACCCACCUCCGCGUUUCGUGAAAGCGCGCGGCGGCGAGAGGAGCGGAAGCGGCGACAAGCAGAGAGAUGGCCGGCGGUGGCGCCGCCGCCGCCGCGCCGCCGCUUUCGAGCCCCUGGAGGGCGCUGCUCCAGCGAGCUUUGGACGCCAACGCCCACCUCAGGCACUCCACCUAUUUCCAACUUGCCACGGUGGGCGCCGGCGGCAGGCCCGCCAAUCGCACCGUCGUGUUCAGGGGUUUCCAGGAACAUUCUGAUAAGAUUCAGAUUAACACGGAUGCCCGAAGCAACAAGAUUGGUGAGAGAAGGAAUUGCCCCUUCGGAGAGAUUUGUUGGUACUUCACAGACAGCUGGGAGCAAUUCCGUAUCAGUGGAAGCAUAGAUGCGAUUGAUGGCUCCAGUGCAGACCCUGCCAAGCUCCAGAACAGGGAGAAAGCUUGGUUCGCGAGCUCAGUGAGGUCAAGAUUGCAGUACUUGGGACCUCAGCCAGGUGUUCCCAUUAUAGAUGAGGAGCAAGUUAAGGAUGUUCGUCUAGAUCCAUCAGCUGACCCAGUAGAAGCCUUUUGCCUUCUGGUUCUUGAUCCAGAAAAGGUCGAUUAUUUGAAUCUAAAAAACAACCAAAGGUUGAUAUUCACAAGAAGCCAAAAGGAAGAUGGCUCCAUUGAUUGGAUGGCUGAAAAAGUUACUCCGUAAACUGCUGUGAGAAGUUUGUUUGUGAACUUCUUAAGUAACCAGUGUGAGAAAAAAACAACAGUUGGCCUUAAACAUCAGCAUAUGGGAAGCAUUAAAGCUUUGUGUCAACAGGUGCCACUGAUGAGCAGAGCUGAAGCCGUCGGACGGUUGCAGAACUUCAGUGGUCUGUGAGUGCUUAUCUCAGCAUCUGAUUAUGAACAGUUUGAGAUGAAAAACGUGCCAACAGCAUUUUGUCACGCAAAAUGGCAAAAGCAAAGGUGAAGUGAACUAUUGUGGUCAUGUUCUGCGUGAGGCCCCAGCUGCAACUUGGAGUGCAUAGUAUGUUUUGGUGAGUCUAGAGCCUUAUAUCUUUUUGGGGGACCAUAUGACCAUUGGUUCAUCUUGACCACUAUAGUUGUGCAGACUCAAUCAUCUAGCACUUGCAAGGAACAGAUAACCAUGAGCAACCUUUCAAAAAUCAGGAUCUGUCUCCAUUGCACUGAUUUCGCGAGGUCAAAGGUGACUGUUAAAUUGGGUAUUCAGCUUCCGCAUGGAAGACUUUUGGCAGCCUUUUUCUAUCUAUCGACUCGAUGGCUGUGUUUAGAUCCCUCAAAAUUGGUUAGAAAAGGUCACAUCGAACAUUGUAGCACACUGUAACAUUUUUCGUUUGUUUGUGGUGAAUAUUGUCCUACCAUGACCUA
Panicum virgatum (switchgrass) is the source of this 1418-nucleotide RNA transcript. It is a transcript of the gene named pyridoxine/pyridoxamine 5'-phosphate oxidase 2-like, with no coding region annotated. The transcript has 9 exons. The record is from RefSeq and is a predicted model, not a curated record. NCBI's taxonomy places the organism in Eukaryota, Viridiplantae, Streptophyta, Magnoliopsida, Poales, Poaceae.